Molecule: ribosomal RNA, 451 nt
Filed under: uncultured bacterium
Lineage: Bacteria
Description: bacterial SSU rRNA
Rfam family: Bacterial small subunit ribosomal RNA
Source: RNAcentral
AGCGAACGCUGGCGGCAGGCCUAAUACAUGCAAGUCGAACGGUCUCUUCGGAGGCAGUGGCGGACGGGUGAGUAACGCGUGGGAACGUGCCCUUUGGUACGGAACAACUGAGGGAAACUUCAGCUAAUACCGUAUGUGCCCCUUCGGGGGAAAGAUUUAUCGCCAUUGGAGCGGCCCGCGUUGGAUUAGCUAGUUGGUGGGGUAAUGGCCCACCAAGGCGACGAUCCAUAGCUGGUCUGAGAGGAUGAUCAGCCACACUGGGACUGAGACACGGCCCAGACUCCUACGGGAGGCAGCAGUAGGGAAUCUUGCGCAAUGGGCGAAAGCCUGACGCAGCCAUGCCGCGUGAAUGAUGAAGGUCUUAGGAUUGUAAAAUUCUUUCACCGGGGACGAUAAUGACGGUACCCGGAGAAGAAGCCCCGGCUAACUUCGUGCCAGCAGCCGCGGUAAU